RNAcentral lists this long non-coding RNA (1774 nucleotides) under Monodelphis domestica (gray short-tailed opossum). RNAcentral's name for it is "lncRNA (ENSMODG00000030448.2)". The record is from RNAcentral. Lineage: Eukaryota; Metazoa; Chordata; Mammalia; Didelphimorphia; Didelphidae.
AAACAUUAAUUGAUAUUAAUCAGUUCAUCAGCAUUAGCAGGCUACUAAUUGGUGGUAGAAAGAAGCAAAACACCUCCAAUGGACGCUCCUGAGCAAUAACAGUACACUUAGUUCUGCUAUAACUUCAUACAUGUUCUGAAAAGACACAAUGAUCUACAAAAUCACAGAACUAAAAAAGCACAUAGAGCCUUUGGGGGAAAUGGGAUUGGGGGCAAUACACCAAAAAAAAUUUGUCAAUGACCCAUAAAGAAGCUAGAAACCUAAUAAAAUGGUAGUGCGGUUUUGCACGUGUUCGAUGAUUGAGAUGCAUGAGCACUACAAUAAAUAGGGGCCACUUCUGAUGCAAGUUGACCUUCACCCUGGAAAAUUGAGGAGGCCAAGGGAAACUUCUGGCCUCAGAGCUGGAGCCAAAGACCACAGGAAGGAGGGAAGGAUGAAGAUAAAGGUGGUCUGACCAGUCCUUCUCUAUUCAUGGCUCUUAUUGUACCAGAUGCUACACAAUAAAUACGACAUUUUAGCUUUAUCUAAAGUCUGUUUGUCAAAGUGAGUUUGGGAAGGAUUAUAGCUUAUGAGUUAUUAUAAAGUGGUGGUAUUUUCUGUGUGACCCUGGGCAAGACACUUAACCCUCUCAACCUCAGUUUCCUCAUCUGUCAAAUGAACUAGAGAAGGAAUUCGCCAACGAAUUCAGGAUCUCACCAAGAAAACCACAAAUGGGAUCAUGGAGAGUAGAACAUGACUGAAUCUCCAGAAUAAUAAAAGUUGUUUUCUGACUUCUCGAAGUUCCUUAAGAAAGAAAUUGUUCAGAAGCAAACUUGAAAUUGGAAUUACACUAGAAUGUUCCCUGAUAGAUCAUUGGAACAAAUUUCUGUUUUCAAAACACACAUUACAUCAAUACUAUUCUAGAACCCAAUUCCUAAGACAUCAGAGUUGUUCUAGAACCCUGGGGAGAGGAAUAAGCCUCAAUUUCCUGGGACUCCAGCUGUCUGUGAGAAUUGAGAUGGAGAAAGCUCUCCCUAGAAAACCUCAGGUCCCUGUAAGCAAAUUUGAAGAAAACAGAAAUGAAGGGGGUGGCUAUCAUCGCAGUAGUGAGACAAAAGUCAGGAUGAUUGGAAAUGACCAGGGAUGCAGUGGAUGGUCUUGGGGGCCAAGCUAUAAACUGGUGAGCAGUAGGAACUUUGCCAAACAUCGGGAGACCAGAAGAGUGUCUUCCGGGUGUCGUGGAUGCAUCAAUUGUGGAGAGAUGCUUGAGCCCUUAGAAGAGAUGAUGUCACCGUUGGAAGAGGCCCUUGGACAGGGAACAUCAGAUAUGGAAGAGUCCAAAGAACUCUGAAUAUCAGGUUCUAAAGGAACGUCUGAAUAUAGAGCAUCAGAGCUGGAAGACAUCUUAGAAUCUAGACUGUUAGGAGGAAGGACCUUAGGAUGUAGAAUAACAACUACUUGUAGAGGACUUUAAGGUUUAUAAAGAAUUUUACAAAUAUUACCUCAUUUUAUCCUCACAAUUCCCCAAGUGAUAGGUGCUAUUAUUAUCCCCACUUUAUAGAUAAGGAAGUUGAAGUAGACAGAGGUAGAAGUGACUGGCCAAGGAUAUUACAGCUAGGAAGUACCUGAGGCUAGAUUUGAACUCAACUCUUCCUAACUCUGGGUCCUUCAUUCUUGACCCAGCUGUCAAGAAGAGAUAAUUUAGAGGCUAUGAUAGGUUUUUUUUCAAGUAUCUAAAGGACCAUCUAUAGGUAGGGGAUUAAACUUGUUUGGUUUUUGGUUUGGCUAUGGAGGG